UACAGAGGGGGCAAGCGUUGUUCGGAAUUACUGGGCGUAAAGGGCGCGUAGGCGGCCCGCUAAGUCGAACGUGAAAUCCCUGGGCUCAACCCAGGAACUGCGUCCGAUACUGGUGGGCUUGAAUCCGGGAGAGGGAUGUGGAAUUCCAGGUGUAGCGGUGAAAUGCGUAGAUAUCUGGAGGAACACCGGUGGCGAAGGCGACAUCCUGGACCGGUAUUGACGCUGAGGCGCGAAAGCCGGGGGAGCAAACGGG
RNAcentral lists this ribosomal RNA (253 nucleotides) under uncultured bacterium. RNAcentral describes it as "partial 16S ribosomal RNA". It matches the Rfam family "Bacterial small subunit ribosomal RNA", at positions 524 to 776 of the family's 1533-position model. The record is from RNAcentral.